RNAcentral lists this ribosomal RNA (491 nucleotides) under uncultured bacterium. RNAcentral's name for it is "partial 16S ribosomal RNA". It matches the Rfam family "Bacterial small subunit ribosomal RNA", at positions 29 to 507 of the family's 1533-position model. The record is from RNAcentral.
ACGAACGCUGGCGGCGUGCUUAACACAUGCAAGUCGCACGGAAAGGCCCCCACUUUUUUGGUGGGGGUGCUCGAGUGGCGAACGGGUGAGUAACACGUGGGUGAUCUGCCCUGUACUUCGGGAUAAGCUUGGGAAACUGGGUCUAAUACCGGAUAGGACCAUGGUUUAGUGUCUCAUGGUGGAAAAAUUAUUGUUUUGGUGCAGGAUGAGCUCGCGGCCUAUCAGCUUGUUGGUGGGGUAAUGGCCUACCAAGGCGUCGACGGGUAGCCGGCCUGAGAGGGUGGACGGCCACAUUGGGACUGAGAUACGGCCCAGACUCCUACGGGAGGCAGCAGUGGGGAAUAUUGCACAAUGGGCACAAGCCUGAUGCAGCGACGCCGCGUGGGGGAUGACGGCCUUCGGGUUGUAAACUCCUUUCGUUAGGGACGAAGCCGCACCUUUUUUGGGUGUGGUGACGGUACCUUUGUUAAGAAGCACCGGCUAACUACGUG